UUGACCUCGGAUCAGGUAGGGAUACCCGCUGAACUUAAGCAUAUCAAUAAGCGGAGGAAAAGAAACCAACAGGGAUUGCCUCAGUAACGGCGAGUGAAGCGGCAACAGCUCAAAUUUGAAAUCUGGCUCCUUCGGGGUCCGAAUUGUAAUUUGUAGAGAGUGCUUCGGGCGAGACCUCGGUCUAAGUCCAUUGGAACAUGGUGUCAUAGAGGGUGAGAAUCCCGUAUGCGACCGUGGCUCGAGCCCAUGUGAAGCCUCUUCGACGAGUCGAGUUGUUUGGGAAUGCAGCUCAAAAUGGGUGGUAAAUUUCAUCUAAAGCUAAAUACUGGCUGGAGACCGAUAGCGCACAAGUAGAGUGAUCGAAAGAUGAAAAGCACUUUGGAAAGAGAGUCAAACAGUACGUGAAAUUGUUGAAAGGGAAGCGCUUGCAACCAGACCUGCCCGUAGGCGAUCCGCCGCUGUUCUCAGCGGUGUACUCGCUCUGCGAUCAGGCCAGCAUCGGUUUCGGCGGUCGGAUAAAGGCCUUGGGAAUGUAGCUUCCCCUCGGGGGAGUCUUAUAGCCCUCGGUGUAAUGCGGCCAGCUGGGACCGAGGACCGCGCUUCGGCUAGGAUGCUGGCGUAAUGGUUGUAAGCGACCCGUCUUGAAACACGGACCAAGGAGUCUAACAUCUAUGCGAGUGUUUGGGUGUCAAACCCAUACGCGAAAUGAAAGUGAACGGAGGUGAGAACCCUUAAGGGCGCAUCAUCGACCGAUCCAGAUGUCUUCGGAUGGAUUUGAGUAUGAGCAUAGCUGUUGGGACCCGAAAGAUGGUGAACUAUGCCUGAAUAGGGUGAAGCCAGAGGAAACUCUGGUGGAGGCUCGCAGCGGUUCUGACGUGC
This 879-nucleotide ribosomal RNA is filed under the name Xanthoparmelia coreana. Its description in RNAcentral is "eukaryotic LSU rRNA". It matches the Rfam family "Eukaryotic large subunit ribosomal RNA", at positions 1 to 894 of the family's 3401-position model. The record is from RNAcentral. Lineage: Eukaryota; Fungi; Ascomycota; Lecanoromycetes; Lecanorales; Parmeliaceae.